RNAcentral lists this ribosomal RNA (643 nucleotides) under uncultured bacterium. RNAcentral's name for it is "bacterial SSU rRNA". It matches the Rfam family "Bacterial small subunit ribosomal RNA", at positions 232 to 885 of the family's 1533-position model. The record is from RNAcentral.
CGCGGCCUAUCAGCUUGUUGGUGGGGUAAUGGCUCACCAAGGCUACGACGGGUAGCCGGCCUGAGAGGGCGACCGGCCACACUGGGACUGAGACACGGCCCAGACUCCUACGGGAGGCAGCAGUGGGGAAUAUUGCACAAUGGGCGAAAGCCUGAUGCAGCGACGCCGCGUGAGGGAUGACGGCCUUCGGGUUGUAAACCUCUUUCAGCAGGGACGAAGCUUACGUGACGGUACCUGCAGAAGAAGGGCCGGCCAACUACGUGCCAGCAGCCGCGGUGAUACGUAGGGUCCGAGCGUUGUCCGGAUUUAUUGGGCGUAAAGGGCUUGUAGGCGGCUUGUCGCGUCCAGUGUGAAAACUCGGGGCUUAACUGCGGGCCUGCUUUCGAUACGGGCGGACUAGAGGGAUGCAGGGGAGACUGGAAUUCCUGGUGUAGCGGUGGAAUGCGCAGAUAUCAGGAGGAACACCGGUGGCGAAGGCGGUUCUCUGGGCCUAUACUGACGCUGAGAAGCGAAAGCGUGGGGAGCGAACAGGAUUAGAUACCCUGGUAGUCCACGCUGUAAACGUUGGGCGCUAGGUGUGGGGGACCUCUCCCGUUCUCUGUGUCGAAGCUAACGCAUUAAGCGCCCCGCCUGGGGAGUACGG